AGCUUGUAGAAGUAUUAUAAGUAUUGCCUGCCCAGUGCAAUGUAAACGGCCGCAGAACUUUAACUGUGCAAAGGUAGCAUAAUAAUUUGUCUUUUAAUUGGUGACUGUAUGAAUGGCUAAACGGGGUUUAACUGUCUAUUUUGGUUUAAUUGAAAUUGCUUAUGAGGUGAAAAUACCUUAGGACGCAAAAAAGACGAGAAGACCCUUAGAGUUUUAACUAAUAGGGAUAUGUCCCCAUGGUUUUAGUUGGGGCAACUAAGGAGAUAACCUCCUUUUUUACUUGAAAUAAGUUGGUAAGAAUAAACUACCUAAGGGAUAACAGCAUUAUCCAUUUUUGGGAUUGUGACCUCGAUGUUGGACUAGGACAUUUUAUCCACAGAAAGGGUAACUUUUAGCUCUGUUCGAGCAAAACCUCCU
Molecule: ribosomal RNA, 417 nt
Filed under: Siphonaria sp. UF 291950
Lineage: Eukaryota; Metazoa; Mollusca; Gastropoda; Siphonariida; Siphonariidae
Description: partial 16S ribosomal RNA
Rfam family: Bacterial large subunit ribosomal RNA
Source: RNAcentral